GUCCUCAGUGCACCAGUGGACAUCAUUGAAAAGAGCAGUUGUGCUGAGCCAUUAGCAAGAAACAUUUGUAAAGCAGCUCCCAAGGGAAGUGUUGAUCAGUCUUUCCACAUGUACCCAUAACAUUCAUGGAUAAACCUGCUAGAACAGUGAAAAAGCAAAUGUCUGUGUUAGAGAGAUCCUGAAUGACUCUGACACCAGUAGGGAAGUUUCUGCAUGACCUAUGGUUGUGUCCCAAGUGGUCCAGAACAUCACUGGUGCUUCAAGCUGCUCCUGUGGUUUCUCUGCAAGUGUUUACCAAGAAACUGCAUUUUGAGAUGGAAAACCAAGUCCCCUUGGUCCCACACUCACCAGUUGUUAACUGUGGUCUGUGUGGCUGGUCCAAAAUAAAACAAUGUCUCCCCCAGUUCAGAUGGAAAUUAAUCUGAGAAAAACUGAAAGACUCUACUAUCCUUUGCAGAAAUUUUAAAUAAGUGAUUUAUCAGCAUUUUAUUUUCAGAUUUGAAAGACCUAAUAAGAACAAAAUUGAUCAUCAUGGGCAAAAAGUCCUUCAUAACAAUGUUUAAUCCAUUAACCAUAAAAUUUCUCUCACACCCCCUCUGUAAGAAAAAUCAAUAUAUCAUAUAAAGAAAUAAAGAAAUGCCAAAUGUCUGCACACAUAUAUCUCUUUCUGCCUUUGAACAAUGGUAUUCAUAAAAAAACCCUGACUACUGACUUUUUCUGAGGAACAAUCUAAAUAUUACACAAACACAUUGGUAUCAGGAUUAAACACGAAAAACUUAAGAAAAUUAAACUGACAGGCUCUGCAGAUUCGGAACUGAUAUCUGAUACCAGAAAAAAAUUCAAAAGAAAAAAAGCAGCAGCUGACUGACUGUCUGUUGGUGUGUGUGUGUGUGUGUCCAUCAUUAUUAGUAUAAUUGGGUUGAAGGUAAUUUUACAUAUAGAGAUAUGUUCUGGUGAGCUGCAGCUUUCUAUUGGCAGCAGUCAGUGCUGUGAAAUAUUUCUUUUUAUGUUUCUCUGCAUCCAGUCUACUGCCACGGUGUUUGUAUCCAGGUGUUAGGACACUUUGCUACGCCUGUUCAUUACAGCUAGCAAUCCUAAUCCCUGCUUUAAACAGAAGCUGUGCAUAAAUUUGCUUUACUUGCUUAAGAGUAAAACCUACCCUCAAAGGAUACUGCCUUUUAAACCCUGUUUUCUAAAUGCAAGUGGGAUGAUAAAUGAGGGAUAUGAAAUGUACCACUCAUAUGUCCUAUCUGAAGGUACAAACUUAAAGCUGCUUCUUACUUGUAAAGUGUCCAAUAAAAUAGCAAGAGAACCCAACCUGGGGAAUUGGUCAAUGGUGGGGGUUUGGGUAUAAACAAAAUAUGUCAUUAGUAACAGAGCAGCUAGAACACAGAAAAUCCUACUUGUGUCAUUGCUUUCCCCAGACUCCCUGCCCAUUCUCUCCCCGCAGUCGUUUCCCACACACUGUGCUGAUAAAAGAUUUACUUGUGAGGUUACCUACUCCCCUGUGCUCUUGAUUUUGUGCCUGUGUUCAUUUCUUCCGCUUAUUUAUCUUAUUCACUAAUGUGAACUGCAAAUUUUAUGUUAGGUGGCCUUUUAGCUACAUAAGACUUUGAUAUGAAGCAUUAGAAAAUAUUUCA
This is a long non-coding RNA of Parus major (Great Tit), 1640 nucleotides long. RefSeq lists it as uncharacterized. NCBI's taxonomy places the organism in Eukaryota, Metazoa, Chordata, Aves, Passeriformes, Paridae. The transcript is spliced from 4 exons. The record is from RefSeq and is a predicted model, not a curated record.